GAUGAACGCUGGCGGCGUGCCUAAUACAUGCAAGUAGAACGCUGAAGGAAGGAGCUUGCUCUUUCCGGGUGAGUUGCGAACGGGUGAGUAACGCGUAGGUAACCUGCCUGGUAGCGGGGGAUAACUAUUGGAAACGAUAGCUAAUACCGCAUAAUAGUAGAUGUUGCAUGAUAUCUACUUAAAAGGUGCAAUUGCUCCACUACCAGAUGGACCUGCGUUGUCUUAGCUAGGUGGUGAGGUAACGGCCCACCAAGGCGACGGAACAUUGCCCACCCGGGAGGGGGGACGGCCCACCUGGGAAUGGGGCGAGGCCCAGGACCCCUCGGGAAGGAACAGGAGGGGAUCCUCGGCAAAGGGCGGAAGGCUGACCGGGCCACGCCGGGGUGGGGGAGGAGGUUUUCGGAUCGUAAAGCUCUGUUUAAAGGGAAGGACGAGAGUGGGAGGUGAAAGUUCACGCUGUGACGGUAUCUUACCAGAAAGGGACGGCUAACUACGUG
Molecule: ribosomal RNA, 497 nt
Filed under: uncultured bacterium
Lineage: Bacteria
Description: partial 16S ribosomal RNA
Rfam family: Bacterial small subunit ribosomal RNA
Source: RNAcentral